CGUAGGUAACCUGCCUCUUAGCGGGGGAUAACUAUUGGAAACGAUAGCUAAUACCGCAUAAAAGUCGACAUUGCAUGAUGUUGACUUGAAAGGUGCAAUUGCAUCACUAAGAGAUGGACCCGCGUUGUAUUAGCUAGUUGGUGAGGUAACGGCUCACCAAGGCGACGAUACAUAGCCGACCUGAGAGGGUGAUCGGCCACACUGGGACUGAGACACGGCCCAG
Molecule: ribosomal RNA, 223 nt
Filed under: uncultured bacterium
Lineage: Bacteria
Description: partial 16S ribosomal RNA
Rfam family: Bacterial small subunit ribosomal RNA
Source: RNAcentral